GAUGAACGCUGUCGGCGUGCUUAACACAUGCAAGUCGAACGGAAAGGCUCCUGCUUGCAGGGGUACUCGAGUGGCGAACGGGUGAGUAACACGUGGGUGAUCUGCCCUGCACUUCGGGAUAAGCCUGGGAAACUGGGUCUAAUACCGGAUAGGACGAUGGUUUGGAUGCCAUUGUGGAAAGUUUUUCGGUGUGGGAUGAGCUCGCGGCCUAUCAGCUUGUUGGUGGGGUAAUGGCCUACCAAGGCGUCGACGGGUAGCCGGCCUGAGAGGGUGUACGGCCACAUUGGGACUGAGAUACGGCCCAGACUCCUACGGGAGGCAGCAGUGGGGAAUAUUGCACAAUGGGCGCAAGCCUGAUGCAGCGACGCCGCGUGGGGGAUGACGGCCUUCGGGUUGUAAACUCCCUUCGCUAGGGACGAAGCGCAAGUGACGGUACCUGGAGAAGAAGCACCGGCUAACUACGUGCCAGCAGCCGCGGUAAUACGUAGGGUGCGAGCGUUGUCCGGAAUUACUGGGCGUAAAGAGCUCGUAGGUGGUUUGUCGCGUCGUUUGUGUAAGCCCGCAGCUUAACUGCGGGACUGCAGGCGAUACGGGCAUAACUUGAGUGCUGUAGGGGAGACUGGAAUUCCUGGUGUAGCGGUGGAAUGCGCAGAUAUCAGGAGGAACACCGAUGGCGAAGGCAGGUCUCUGGGCAGUAACUGACGCUGAGGAGCGAAAGCAUGGGUAGCGAACAGGAUUAGAUACCCUGGUAGUCCAUGCCGUAAACGGUGGGCGCUAGGUGUGAGUCCCUUCCACGGGGUUCGUGCCGUAGCUAACGCAUUAAGCGCCCCGCCUGGGGAGUACGGCCGCAAGGCUAAAACUCAAAGGAAUUGACGGGGGCCCGCACAAGCGGCGGAGCAUGUGGAUUAAUUCGAUGCAACGCGAAGAACCUUACCUGGGCUUGACAUACACCAGACCGGGCCAGAGAUGGUCUUUCCCUUUGUGGUUGGUGUACAGGUGGUGCAUGGUUGUCGUCAGCUCGUGUCGUGAGAUGUUGGGUUAAGUCCCGCAACGAGCGCAACCCUUGUCUUAUGUUGCCAGCACGUUAUGGUGGGGACUCGUGAGAGACUGCCGGGGUUAACUCGGAGGAAGGUGGGGAUGACGUCAAAUCAUCAUGCCCCUUAUGUCCAGGGCUUCACACAUGCUACAAUGGUCGGUACAACGCGUCUGCGAGCCUGUGAGGGUGAGCUAAUCGCUGUAAAGCCGGUCGUAGUUCGGAUUGGGGUCUGCAACUCGACCCCAUGAAGUCGGAGUCGCUAGUAAUCGCAGAUCAGCAACGCUGCGGUGAAUACGUCCCCGGGCCU
RNAcentral lists this ribosomal RNA (1343 nucleotides) under uncultured bacterium. RNAcentral's name for it is "bacterial SSU rRNA". It matches the Rfam family "Bacterial small subunit ribosomal RNA", at positions 28 to 1381 of the family's 1533-position model. The record is from RNAcentral.